This 440-nucleotide ribosomal RNA is filed under the name uncultured bacterium. RNAcentral describes it as "partial 16S ribosomal RNA". It matches the Rfam family "Bacterial small subunit ribosomal RNA", at positions 338 to 795 of the family's 1533-position model. The record is from RNAcentral.
CCUACGGGUGGCAGCAGUGGGGAAUAUUGCACAAUGGGGGAAACCCUGAUGCAGCAACGCCGCGUGAGUGAAGAAGUAUUUCGGUAUGUAAAGCUCUAUCAGCAGGGAAGAAGAUGACGGUACCUGAAUAAGAAGCCCCGGCUAACUACGUGCAAGCAGCCGCGGUAAUACGUAGGGGGCGAGCGUUAUCCGGAUUUACUGGGUGUAAAGGGAGCGCAGACGGCAGUGCAAGUCUGGAGUGAAAGCCCGGGGCGCAACCCCGGAACUGCUCUGGAAACUGGGCGGCUAGAGUACUGGAGGGGCUGCCGGAAUUCCUAGUGUAGCGGUGAAAUGCUUAGAUAUUAGGAGGAACACCAGUGGCGAAGGCGGGCGUCUGGACAGUAACUGACGUUGAGGCUCGAAAGCGUGGGUAGCAAACAGGAUUAGAUACCCUGGUAGUC